GUUUCUGGCUGCUCCGGUUGAUCACGAAGAGGUUUGAGGCCCGUCUGAUGGGGGUUGAGGGAUGCGAUGAGGUGAUUGGCUAAUCUGGCUGUCACUCAAUUAAAUACGGAAAGCUAUUGGUCGGUGGGAGGGACCACGAGUGGUGAUUGGAGGAGGCAGACCGGAAGGGGAGGUGAAUUGACAGGAAAAGGAAGUAGAUUGACCGGAAGAGGAGGGGAGUUAACCGGAAGAGGAAGUAGACUGACCGGAAGAGGAGGGAGAUUGACAGGUAGGGGAAGGAGAUUGACCGGAAGAGGCGGGGAGAUGGUGUCGUAGCGUUGUUGUCAUGGCUACGGGGCCCAGCCCCUCCCCCUCGUUUCCCGCAUUCUGAUUGGACGAUCAUCAGUGUCAAUCAGCUUUGCCCGGCGCUGAUUGGCUGCUCGUUCUACUUCCGCCUUUUCACUCCCGGUCCGCUCUCACCCCACAAAGCGGCCCGUCCCUCCCCCGUUGGCUGCUUUGAUGUUCCCCGCAACCAUUGGUCGGCUGCGGUGUCGCUCAAAUAGAUCCGGCUUGUGAUUGGUUGGCUGGAGGUGUCGCGUGUGAUGAUUGGAGGGGAGAGGCCGGAAGAGGCGGGGAGACUGACCGGAAGGGGUGGGGCGAUAGUGUAACGGCUUGGUUGUCAUGGCUACGAGGCCGCGCCCCUCCCCCCAUUUCUGUCCGGAUUCUGAUUGGUCGAGCAGGAUGUCACUCCGCUCUUUCCCCGCGCUCAUUGGCUGCCCUUCCCGCUCCCGCCUUCUCCCUAGCUGUCUUCUAAUUGGCUCCAACUCCCAUCCUUCAAACACCAGCGCUCCAAUCAGGAGACAAGAAAACUGGGCGGGCUUUCGGUUUCCCUAGCAACCAAAAGGGGCGGAGCAUCUUUCAGCCAAUCAAAACGCGACUACACCGCGCGGGCCAAGGGGCGGGUUCAAGGGUCAGAGCUCAGCCAAGAUGGCGGCGGCGCCGGGGCGGCGGCGGCCGCUGUUGCUGCUGUUCGGUGCCGUUUAUUUCGGGCUCGGUUCGGCCGUGGAUCGGAGCAACUUUAAAACGUGCGAACAAAGCAGCUUCUGCAGGUGGGAACCGGGUCCGUUAACCCUCCCCGGGUCCGUUAACCCCCGUUAUAGGGGGAGGGCGGGGUUUGAGGUGUUGCCCGGUUCCGGUUGUAGGCGGCAGCGCAGUUUCCAGCCCGGCCGUUCUCCGUAUCGGGUCCUGUUGGAUUCGUUACAGCUCGGCCCCGAAGCGGUAACGGUGCAGGUGG
Molecule: long non-coding RNA, 1273 nt
Filed under: Coturnix japonica (Japanese quail)
Lineage: Eukaryota; Metazoa; Chordata; Aves; Galliformes; Phasianidae
Description: lncRNA (ENSCJPG00005002003.1)
Source: RNAcentral